UAAAUUUUAUUAUGUUUUUUAAAAUAUUAAAAUAUGAUUAUCUAAUAUUGAUUUUAUUUGUAAACAAUAAUUUUUUAUUUUGGUAAUUAAUAGUUUGUAAAAUAAUGGUUCCAGAAUAAUCGGCUAGACUUUUAAAAUUUUUUCUUUAAUUUUUUUUAUUAUUGAUUUAUUGUUUUUAUUAUUUUUUUAUUAUAGGUAGAAUUUAGAUUUUUAAUUUAUUAAGGUUUUUAAUAACAAUUUUGUUUUUUGACUUAGAUUAGUACCUAAUUAGUUAUUUUUUAUUAUACCAGAAUUAAAGUUAUAUUUAAACUGAAAUUAUUUGGCAGAAAAAAUAAUUUAUCUUUGGAGGUUGAGUGGUAAUUGAGAGUCCUCAUUUAUUACUAAUUUUUUAGUUUUUUGUAUGAUCAUUUAUUUUGUUCUUUAGGAAUAAAAUUUUAAUUGUUUUUUUUUGUGUAAAUAGAUAUAUAUAAAUUUUAUAUUUUAGUUAAUUUGACCUACAAUAUUUUUUUUAUGGAUAAGAAUUUUAAUGAUUCUUUGAAAUUGUAAAAGACAGUAAAAAAUUUUUUAUAUAUUUUUGAAGUUUUUUAUUUUUGGUACAAAUCAUCCAUCAAUUGCCUAAAGGGGAGUAAGUUGUAGUAAAGUAGUUUUAAAGGAAUUUGAAACU
Molecule: non-coding RNA, 664 nt
Filed under: Diploscapter coronatus
Lineage: Eukaryota; Metazoa; Nematoda; Chromadorea; Rhabditida; Rhabditidae
Source: RNAcentral